AGCGAACGCUGGCGGCAGGCUUAACACAUGCAAGUCGAACGGGCACCUUCGGGUGUCAGUGGCAGACGGGUGAGUAACACGUGGGAACGUACCCUUCGGUUCGGAAUAACUCUGGGAAACUAGAGCUAAUACCGGAUACGCCCUUUUGGGGAAAGGUUACUGCCGAAGGAUCGGCCCGCGUCUGAUUAGCUAGUUGGUGGGGUAACGGCCUACCAAGGCGACGAUCAGUAGCUGGUCUGAGAGGAUGAUCAGCCACACUGGGACUGAGACACGGCCCAGACUCCUACGGGAGGCAGCAGUGGGGAAUAUUGGACAAUGGGCGCAAGCCUGAUCCAGCCAUGCCGCGUGAGUGAUGAAGGUCUUCGGAUCGUAAAGUCCUGUCGAGUGGGAAGAAAAUAGUGGGCGGCUAAUACCGCUCGCAUUCGACUGUACCACCAAA
Molecule: ribosomal RNA, 439 nt
Filed under: uncultured bacterium
Lineage: Bacteria
Description: bacterial SSU rRNA
Rfam family: Bacterial small subunit ribosomal RNA
Source: RNAcentral